GUGUCAUGAAGUGGUGGUUUGUUGGUGAGAAUUUAAACGCGGAGAGGCCCAGGAUGAAGUGGAGAACGUUUUUAAUGAAGUCCAAACAAAACUCAACGCCAGGAACCCCAGGUGAGGAGGGGACAGAACUCAGGAAGACGACAAUGACAAAUGACAAGGAUCCAAACCGGACACAGAGACACAGAAAGCAAUGCAUUUGUGUUGGCAACAGUUUGACACCGGAGGACAUCCCAUAAGGUUGUAUUCUUGGACCAUGCCUUUUUUUAAUGUUGCCUCCAGAGUCGGUCUGCUGACAGCUUCUGAGGUGAGCGAUCCCCCUCUUGCUGUGGAAGGGGUCGGAUGCAGAGGUCUGUGGAAGCUGUUGGAGUGUGUGUUCUGCCCUGCGCAGGGCACAAACGUUCUUGCUGCACUGAUUUCCGAUAAGUCUUCACCUCCUCCGCUGUUCAUGGCCUGCGGCUCCAUCCUCCUUCUCCUCUGCAGUCGAUCAAUUGACUGACACUGCUGACCAGCUCCCACAGCACACCGCCCAGGGAGUGGAGUUAUUGGAGUCGUGUGUGUGUGCGGGUGUGUGUGUGUGUGUGCUGCCUCGGAUACUUUCUGGUGGGGCUGUGCUUGCUGUAAUGUUUGAAUAAUAUUAAAAACAGAAAAGUAACUCAAA
This is a long non-coding RNA of Gambusia affinis (western mosquitofish), 658 nucleotides long. RefSeq lists it as uncharacterized. The transcript is spliced from 3 exons. NCBI's taxonomy places the organism in Eukaryota, Metazoa, Chordata, Actinopteri, Cyprinodontiformes, Poeciliidae. The record is from RefSeq and is a predicted model, not a curated record.